GAAGCCCGAGAGGAGGAGAAGCAGCGGAAUCAGAAGGAAGAUUUCAGUGACAUGGUCGCAGAGGUUGAGAAGAAGAGGAAACGAAAGAUGCAGGAGAAAGAUGGGAAAUCAAAAAAGAAAGAUUUCAAGUUUUAGAAGUAGUAAUUGGUUGUAUUGCAAGGGAAGCAUGGCCUAGAUUGUAUGACCAUCCUGUUCUUACUUUUUAACCUGC
This 211-nucleotide unclassified non-coding RNA is filed under the name Hevea brasiliensis (rubber tree). The record is from RNAcentral. Lineage: Eukaryota; Viridiplantae; Streptophyta; Magnoliopsida; Malpighiales; Euphorbiaceae.